RNAcentral lists this Y RNA (102 nucleotides) under Prolemur simus (greater bamboo lemur). Its description in RNAcentral is "Y RNA (ENSPSMG00000014034.1)". It matches the Rfam family "Y RNA". Rfam says of the family: Y RNAs are components of the Ro ribonucleoprotein particle (Ro RNP), in association with Ro60 and La proteins. The Y RNAs and Ro60 and La proteins are well conserved, but the function of the Ro RNP is not known. Lineage: Eukaryota; Metazoa; Chordata; Mammalia; Primates; Lemuridae. The record is from Rfam by way of RNAcentral.
GGCUCGUCCAAGUGCAGGGGUGUUUACAACUAAUUGAUCACAACCAGUUACAGAUUCCUUUGUUCCUUCUCCACUCCCACUGCUUCACUGUACUAGCCUUAA